ACGCUCGACACCUACGGGGGGCAGCAGUGGGGAAUAUUGCACAAUGGGGGAAACCCUGAUGCAGCGACGCCGCGUGAGCGAAGAAGUAUUUCGGUAUGUAAAGCUCUAUCAGCAGGGAAGAUCAUGACGGUACCUGACUAAGAAGCUCCGGCUAAAUACGCGCCAGCAGCCGCGGUAAUCUGAGCGGGCUGGCAAGGC
Molecule: ribosomal RNA, 198 nt
Filed under: uncultured bacterium
Lineage: Bacteria
Description: partial 16S ribosomal RNA
Rfam family: Bacterial small subunit ribosomal RNA
Source: RNAcentral